GGGGUUGUGGCUCAAGUGGUAGAGUGCUCUCCUAGCACAUGUGAGGCACUGGGUUCGAUCCUCAGCACCACG
This 72-nucleotide transfer RNA is filed under the name Marmota monax (woodchuck). RNAcentral describes it as "tRNA.Ala". Lineage: Eukaryota; Metazoa; Chordata; Mammalia; Rodentia; Sciuridae. The record is from RNAcentral.